AGAGCGAACGCUGGCGGCAGGCCUAACACAUGCAAGUCGAGCGGCCGUAGCAAUACGGCAGCGGCAGACGGGAGAGUAACACGUGGGAACGCGCCCUUCGGUUCGGAAUAACUCAGGGAAACUUGGGCUAAUACCGGAUACGCCCUUACGGGGAAAGAUUUAUUGCCGAAGGAACGGCCCGCGUCCGAUUAGCUUGUUGGUGAGGUAACGGCUCACCAAGGCGACGAUCGGUAGCUGGUCUGAGAGGAUGACCAGCCUCACUGGGACUGAGACACGGCCCAGACUCCUACGGGAGGCAGCAGUGGGGAAUAUUGGACAAUGGGCGCAAGCCUGAUCCAGCCAUGCCGCGUGGGUGAUGAAGGCCCUAGGGUUGUAAAGCCCUUUCGGCGGGGAAGAUAAUGACGGUACCGCAGAAGAAGCCCCGGCUAACUUCGUGCCAGCAGCCGC
Molecule: ribosomal RNA, 447 nt
Filed under: uncultured bacterium
Lineage: Bacteria
Description: SSU rRNA
Rfam family: Bacterial small subunit ribosomal RNA
Source: RNAcentral